This 468-nucleotide ribosomal RNA is filed under the name uncultured bacterium. RNAcentral describes it as "partial 16S ribosomal RNA". It matches the Rfam family "Bacterial small subunit ribosomal RNA", at positions 28 to 507 of the family's 1533-position model. The record is from RNAcentral.
GACGAACGCUGGCGGCGUGCUUAACACAUGCAAGUCGAACGGAAAGGCCCUGCUUUUGUGGGGUGCUCGAGUGGCGAACGGGUGAGUAACACGUGAGUAACCUGCCCUUGACUUUGGGAUAACUUCAGGAAACUGGGGCUAAUACCGGAUAGGAGCUCCUGCUGCAUGGUGGGGGUUGGAAAGUUUCGGCGGUUGGGGAUGGACUCGCGGCUUAUCAGCUUGUUGGUGGGGUAGUGGCUUACCAAGGCUUUGACGGGUAGCCGGCCUGAGAGGGUGACCGGCCACAUUGGGACGGGGAUACGGCCCAGACUCCUACGGGAGGCAGCAGGGGGGAAUAUUGCACAAUGGGGGGAAGCCUGAUGCAGCAACGCCGGGUGCGGGAUGACGGCCUUCGGGUGGUAAACCGCUUUCGCCUGUGACGAAGCGUGAGUGACGGUAAUGGGUAAAGAAGCACCGGCUAACUACGUG